RNAcentral lists this ribosomal RNA (253 nucleotides) under uncultured bacterium. RNAcentral describes it as "partial 16S ribosomal RNA". It matches the Rfam family "Bacterial small subunit ribosomal RNA", at positions 524 to 776 of the family's 1533-position model. The record is from RNAcentral.
UACGUAGGGCGCAAGCGUUGUCCGGAAUUAUUGGGCGUAAAGAGCUCGUAGGCGGUUUGUCGCGUCUGUCGUGAAAGCUUGGGGCUUAACCCCAAGUCUGCGGUGGAUACGGGCAGACUAGAGGCAGGUAGGGGAGAACGGAAUUCCCGGUGUAGCGGUGAAAUGCGCAGAUAUCAAGAGGAACACCUGAGGUGAAGACGGGUUGCUGGGCUGACACUGACGCUGAGGCGCGAAAGCUAGGGGAGCAAACGGG